CCUACGGGGGGCUGCAGUGGGGAAUAUUGGACAAUGGGCGAAAGCCUGAUCCAGCCAUGCCGCGUGUGUGAAGAAGGCCUUCGGGUUGUAAAGCACUUUCAGUGGGGAAGAAAGCCUUGGGGCUAAUACCCUCGAGGAAGGACAUCACCCACAGAAGAAGCACCGGCUAACUCCGUGCCAGCAGCCGCGGUAAUACGGAGGGUGCGAGCGUUAAUCGGAAUUACUGGGCGUAAAGCGCGCGUAGGCGGUCUGAUAAGCCGGUUGUGAAAGCCCCGGGCUCAACCUGGGAACGGCAUCCGGAACUGUCAGGCUAGAGUGCAGCAGAGGAAGGUAGAAUUCCCGGUGUAGCGGUGAAAUGCGUAGAGAUCGGGAGGAAUACCAGUGGCGAAGGCGGCCUUCUGGACUGACACUGACGCUGAGGUGCGAAAGCGUGGGUAGCAAACAGGAUUAGAUACCCCAGUAGUC
This 465-nucleotide ribosomal RNA is filed under the name Vreelandella stevensii. RNAcentral describes it as "partial 16S ribosomal RNA". It matches the Rfam family "Bacterial small subunit ribosomal RNA", at positions 338 to 795 of the family's 1533-position model. The record is from RNAcentral. Lineage: Bacteria; Pseudomonadati; Pseudomonadota; Gammaproteobacteria; Oceanospirillales; Halomonadaceae.